CCGGGGAGCUUGUGCGACAGGCUGAGAGGAAGGUCAUACCUUCGACCCGCUGACCUGAUUUGGAUAAUGCCAACGUAGGUAGCCUGUGAU
This 90-nucleotide non-coding RNA is filed under the name Ruminococcus flavefaciens. Its description in RNAcentral is "TPP riboswitch (THI element)". It matches the Rfam family "TPP riboswitch aptamer (THI element)", at positions 10 to 89 of the family's 105-position model. From Rfam's summary of the family: Vitamin B(1) in its active form thiamin pyrophosphate (TPP) is an essential coenzyme that is synthesised by coupling of pyrimidine and thiazole moieties in bacteria. The record is from RNAcentral. Lineage: Bacteria; Bacillati; Bacillota; Clostridia; Eubacteriales; Oscillospiraceae.